GGGGGUAUGGCGGAAUGGUAGACGCGGUGGAUUCAAAAUCCACGGAUUGUUUUAUAUCGUGAGAGUUCAAGUCUCUCUACCCCCA
Molecule: transfer RNA, 85 nt
Filed under: Oogamochlamys gigantea
Lineage: Eukaryota; Viridiplantae; Chlorophyta; Chlorophyceae; Chlamydomonadales; Chlamydomonadaceae
Description: tRNA-Leu
Rfam family: tRNA
About the family: Transfer RNA (tRNA) molecules are approximately 80 nucleotides in length.
Source: RNAcentral